This 655-nucleotide long non-coding RNA is filed under the name Solanum tuberosum (potato). RNAcentral describes it as "long non-coding RNA (STUB_LNC009558)". Lineage: Eukaryota; Viridiplantae; Streptophyta; Magnoliopsida; Solanales; Solanaceae. The record is from RNAcentral.
GGUUGAAUGACUCGAUAAAAGAAUUUUGGGCCUUUAUGGCCCAUCCGAAAUAUGAAGUGGAGAAAGAUGGAGUCCAAGGGAACUCGGAUGGUAUCACAUGGAAACAAAGUAAAGAAAUAAAUUAGCAGGAGCAAGAAGAAUAUGGCAUUCAGACUAUUAACAACAAUUUAUUGUUCUGGUAAAUGAAAGAUGCAAGCCGGAAUUUACGCUCUACAGUAGCGACACAUAAUGAAUUAGUUGGAUUAUUUAAAAUUACUAAGGCAAGGCAUAAAAGUAAAUACUCAAUGAGCAAGCUAAGAGUAAGACAAAUAUUUAUCUUCCACUUUAAAAGUAAACUCGCCUAAACUUGAACAUUACUCACAAUUAAGUCGAUAAACAUUAAAUGUAUUUGCUUAUGGGGACAAGAAUUAAUUACCGAAGGGAAUUGGAAAGGACGAAAACAAUAAUGUCAUAAAAGAAAUAAAAUAGGAAAACUUAGGCCCUUAAUCACAAAUAUUCAGCUGUAUCUACAUUUAAGCUACGUCUUCACUAGACGAAGGGAGAAAUUAAUUACACUAAGAAAGCAAGCUACAUUAAGCAUGUGAUUUCCUAAUGAACAAAGAAAGGGAAAAAAUCUCAAUUUUAACAUGGAAGAUAACACUCAUAAGGAAACUUU